CCGGUGCUGGAAGGUUAAUUGAUGGGGUUAGCGUAAGCGAAGCUCUUGAUCGAAGCCCCAGUAAACGGCGGCCGUAACUAUAACGGUCCUAAGGUAGCGAAAUUCCUUGUCGGGUAAGUUCCGACCUGCACGAAUGGCAUAAUGAUGGCGGCGCUGUCUCCAGCAGAGGCUCAGUGAAAUCGAAAUCGCUGUGAAGAUGCAGUGUACCCGCGGCUAGACGGAAAGACCCCGUGAACCUUUACUGCAGCUUGACACUGAACUUUGACCUUACUUGUGUAGGAUAGGUGGGAGGCUUUGAAGCUGGAACGCUAGUUCCAGUGGAGCCGUCCUUGAAAUACCACCCUGGUAAUGUUGAGGUUCUAACUCUGUCCCGUGAUCCGGGACGAGGACCGUGUCUGGUGGGUAGUUUGACUGGGGCGGUCUCCUCCUAAAGAGUAACGGAGGAGUACGAAGGUGCGCUCAGCGUGGUCGGAAAUCACGCGUAGAGUAUAAAGGCAAAAGCGCGCUUAACUGCGAGACCCACAAGUCGAGCAGGUACGAAAGUAGGUCUUAGUGAUCCGGUGGUUCUGUAUGGAAGGGCCAUCGCUCAACGGAUAAAAGGUACUCUGGGGAUAACAGGCUGAUACCGCCCAAGAGUUCAUAUCGACGGCGGUGUUUGGCACCUCGAUGUCGGCUCAUCUCAUCCUGGGGCUGAAGCAGGUCCCAAGGGUAUGGCUGUUCGCCAUUUAAAGAGGUACGCGAGCUGGGUUUAGAACGUCGUGAGACAGUUCGGUCCCUAUCUACCGUGGGCGCUGGAAAUUUGAGAGGAUCUGCUCCUAGUACGAGAGGACCAGAGUGGACGAACCUCUGGUGUACCGGUUGUGACGCCAGUCGCAUCGCCGGGUAGCUAUGUUCGGAAGGGAUAACCGCUGAAAGCAUCUAAGCGGGAAGCCUACCUCAAGAUAAGAUUUCCCUAGGACUUUAUGUCCUCUAAAGAGCCGUUCGAGACUAGGACGUUGAUAGGUUGGAUGUGGAAGCAUAGUGAUAUGUGAAGCUGACCAAUACUAAUUGCUCGUGAGGCUUGACUAU
RNAcentral lists this ribosomal RNA (1068 nucleotides) under Acinetobacter baumannii. RNAcentral describes it as "partial 23S ribosomal RNA". It matches the Rfam family "Bacterial large subunit ribosomal RNA", at positions 1863 to 2925 of the family's 2925-position model. Lineage: Bacteria; Pseudomonadati; Pseudomonadota; Gammaproteobacteria; Moraxellales; Moraxellaceae. The record is from RNAcentral.